Molecule: long non-coding RNA, 532 nt
Organism: Silurus meridionalis
Lineage: Eukaryota; Metazoa; Chordata; Actinopteri; Siluriformes; Siluridae
Exons: 3
Source: RefSeq, a predicted model, not a curated record
UUCAAAUCAAACAGGAAACAAAUGGAAGUUGGAUUAUUUACCAUACUGUGCCAUACUGGCUGUUGGAAAACUGUUGUUUUUUAGUUUCUCUCUUGAUCUUCUGACUGUCAGACAAACUGUAUGCCCCUUAGACUAAACUUUAGACCAAUCUUUUUGAUCAGUGAUCAAUGAGUGAAGGUGAAAGCCUCAUGUGUAGCUGGAACAAAGGCCUUGAAUGCUAAUCAAUGGAAAAGUCUUUAAAUUGACCCCAAACCCCCCACCCCAGUGGAAAUGGUUUGAGGAGGACACAGAUUGCCUCAGCGCAUCUCAAACUAGCUGCCGAUGUGUGGGACAUUUUGGACUGAUGUGUUAGACACUGCUCUUCACCAGUCACACCACCUGUUCGAGUAAUAUUUUUUUUAAGAAUUUAAGAAUCUCUGAUGUAACUGGCUGCUCCUGGUGGAUCAUCAUCUUGCUAAUGUACACAGCUGUUUUUUGCUUUAGAUUUAUAACCCAUCCGUAUAUUAAAUAUCAACAGGAUUCACCUCCUAUA